UGGGGAAUAUUGGACAAUGGGCGAAAGCCUGAUCCAGCCAUGCCGCGUGUGUGAAGAAGGUCUUCGGAUUGUAAAGCACUUUAAGUUGGGAGGAAGGGCAGUAAGCGAAUACCUUGCUGUUUUGACGUUACCGACAGAAUAAGCACCGGCUAACUCUGUGCCAGCAGCCGCGGUAAUACAGAGGGUGCAAGCGUUAAUCGGAAUUACUGGGCGUAAAGCGAGCGUAGGUGGUUCGUUAAGUUGAAUGUGAAAGCCCCGGGCUCAACCUGGGAACUGCAUCCAAAACUGGCGAGCUAGAGUAGGGCAGAGGGGGGUGGAAUUUCCUGUGUAGCGGUGAAAUGCGUAGAUAUAGGAAGGAACACCAGUGGCGAAGGCGACCACCUGGGCUCAUACUGACACUGAGGUGCGAAAGCGUGGGGAGCAAACAGG
RNAcentral lists this ribosomal RNA (429 nucleotides) under Pseudomonadota bacterium. RNAcentral describes it as "Proteobacteria bacterium partial 16S ribosomal RNA". It matches the Rfam family "Bacterial small subunit ribosomal RNA", at positions 355 to 776 of the family's 1533-position model. Lineage: Bacteria; Pseudomonadati; Pseudomonadota. The record is from RNAcentral.